RNAcentral lists this ribosomal RNA (483 nucleotides) under uncultured bacterium. RNAcentral's name for it is "partial 16S ribosomal RNA". It matches the Rfam family "Bacterial small subunit ribosomal RNA", at positions 29 to 523 of the family's 1533-position model. The record is from RNAcentral.
AGUGAACGCUGGCGGCGUGCUUAACACAUGCAAGUCGAACGAGAACGGAUUAUAGCUUGCUAUAAUUUUCAGCUAAGUGGCGCACGGGUGAGUAAUGUAUAGGUAAUAUGCCUCUUACUAAGGGAUAACAAUUGGAAACGAUUGCUAAUACCUUAUAUCCUUUUUAUCAAAAGAUAAAAAGGGAAAGAUUUAUUGGUAAGAGAUUAGCCUGUAUUGUAUCAGUUAGUUGGUGGGGUAAUGGCCUACCAAGACAAUGACGCAUAACUGGUUUGAGAGGAUGAUCAGUCACACUGGAACUGAGACACGGUCCAGACUCCUACGGGAGGCAGCAGUGGGGAAUAUUGCACAAUGGACGAAAGUCUGAUGCAGCAACGCCGCGUGGAGGAUGACACAUUUCGGUGCGUAAACUCCUUUUAUAUAAGAAGAUAAUGACGGUAUUAUAUGAAUAAGCACCGGCUAACUCCGUGCCAGCCGCCGCCGUAA